Molecule: long non-coding RNA, 2135 nt
Filed under: Daphnia magna
Lineage: Eukaryota; Metazoa; Arthropoda; Branchiopoda; Diplostraca; Daphniidae
Description: uncharacterized LOC116933967, transcript variant X3
Source: RNAcentral
GCUUCUCAUUUUAAUGGCGCUUGUAGUUGCAGUGUAGGCUGCCAUUGCGGCCUACACUGUGUAGUCCGUUGUUGUGUUUGUUGCGUAGUUUAUAAUUAUAAACUAUUCGUAUUUCAAAAUAAGCGUGAUGAAUCUAUUGCCCGAAAUGAGUUCUCAGUUCAGCAAACAAGAUUACUGGAAAAACUUUUGAAAAGAAGAAGCAAGAAAUCAUUUGAAUGGUAUAGAACCUAUCAGUAGCGCAACAGUGUAUUUCAUAAACACAUCAACCCCUGAGAUUCUAAUUGGAAAUUGUAGAAAUAUAAGCUUUUUGUGUUGGUCUGCGUAAUCCUGGCUCUGUCUUAUAUCAUCCAUAAAGCAUCAACACAAGUGAGUUCAUAGAGAUCAUUAACACCUCAAAGGCUGCUGGUAUACCUGUAAUCUCUAAUCAGCUCCUAAACAAUUACACCAGAAAUAUGUGCCACCAAUAAAAGGAAGGAUUUAUAAAAAAGUGCCCAAAUAAAUGACAGAAUAUUUUGAAAAAGUAAUAUGUGCUAUAUGACGGUUGCAAAUUGAUUAAAUUUGACAUGAAUCGAAUCUGCUUACUGAAACUAGAGGUGGAUGCAGAUUCUAGUUAAUGAAGCCCCUGCUGGAAAUAAAAUCUGUUUUCAUCAGAAUCAUUAGUUAAAUAACAGUUCUGAUUUUUUCAGACGCAGUUGGACGCUGAAACAUUGCGAAGAUUAGAUUGGCUUUUUUUACGUAUGAUAGAAAAGCCGUCCACCUAGUGGAACAAAGGUAGUAGUAGUAGUAGUAGUAGUAGUAGUAGUAGUAGUUUAUCUUAUUGCAUUUGGCUUUUCUAUCAUGUGGUGUGAUUUAUUUGGACGGCUUUUCUAUCAAAGUAUUUUCCAUCAUCAUUCGUGGACGGCUUCUUUGCCAUAGGAGAUCGCCUAGACAUCAACUUCAAAGAAGCCGUCCAUGAAUGAUGAUGAUGGCAAAAUAUCGAUCAAAAGGAAGUCAGCACAGACAUCUCGGUUUUUAGUAGUAUAUACGUAUAUAUAGUUUUAGUAGCCUAUUACUUGCAUAAUUAGUAAUCUUUUGGCCCGUUUCUCCUUGACAUGUGAUAUGCUGAGCCUGGAGUGGAUUUGCACAAUGAGACUUAGACCUCGAAUGCUUGGACAACAGCAAGGAAGGUGUCCGUGAAGUUUUCGACAUCGGACCAUUUCUGGCUGUUCAUUUCAUUGUCAAAACCGUCUAUGUAUCAUGUAAUGAAAAAUCUCAAGAAACCAUUGUUUACGGUCAUCAUAAAGGUAUCUUACUGUAACCAAAAAAACCUUCAACUUGCAUCCUUCUUCAUCGUAUGCCAACUGUUAGCCGAGUUGUCAUUAAAAUGGAUGAUAAAAGGAAAUCGCUCACAUAUUGCAGGCAUGUAGCGGUUGACAAUAUGGUGAAAUGAUUGCGACCUACGUCUUUCACGGAACGUCUACGGAUUUGUACAAUUGCUGAGUGGCUUUAGCACUUUGGGAAAUGAAGUCCCAAGUAAAAUUAAACUUUUCUUCUCUUGCUAAUUAGUUAAAAAAGAAAUUUCUAAUAAUGCAAGGAGACGAUUCUGAUGGAAAUUCAGUAUACAAUGGAAAGUCAUGGCGUGAGUGUUGAUCUUCCGUUGCCUCGCUAUCCGAUCUGACUAGUUGUCUGGGUAAAAUCUUUGGCAUCACCAACAACGGGUUGAUUUAAAUGUAAAAGUUUGCAAUAGAUUCUUACCAAGUUAUCUUUCUAGGUUUUCGCUGUGAUUUUCAAUCAGUAUGCCGUUUCAGAAUCACCUGCCAGAAUUUUUUUACAGGAACAUGGCAAAUGGUAAAAUUUCUAUCAUGUAAGCUAUGUAAACAAGAAUUUGUAUGCUUACCUCUGUUUCAUUUUCUUACUAUAGAUUAAUAACCAUAGAUAGCAGAUCUGAAAAAGUUUUGGUUGGGUCAAGAUACAGAAAAACCAAGAAAUUACAAAAAUUGGAUGCAGGAAAUCGAAUUUCCAUACUUAAAUCGCAUUCUUGUGUGUUACGGUAUCAAUUUUUAAAAAAUUUGAAGUGCAUAUCUGGGCUCCCUUCUUUUCUGUGGCCCCGUUUCCCCUUGACUCAUAAUAAGCCCGUAGGGGGUCAUGCCUCUACU